Molecule: transfer RNA, 70 nt
Filed under: Aposthonia borneensis
Lineage: Eukaryota; Metazoa; Arthropoda; Insecta; Embioptera; Oligotomidae
Description: tRNA-Met
Source: RNAcentral
AGAAAAAUAAGCUAACAACAAGCUUAUGGGCUCAUACCCCUUAAAUGAAACCCCAAUAUUUCUUUUUCUA